Molecule: non-coding RNA, 8787 nt
Organism: Ictidomys tridecemlineatus (thirteen-lined ground squirrel)
Lineage: Eukaryota; Metazoa; Chordata; Mammalia; Rodentia; Sciuridae
Source: RefSeq, a predicted model, not a curated record
GGGCUCCACCUUCUCCCAGGGCCAGCUCUGCCCUCCUGCACCCCGGGUCUCUCCUGGCCGCCAGAGCCCACCUGUCUCUGCACUGCAGUGGGCCAGCCGGACAGCUGGACCAACCAACGGGAGGCAGGCUUUCAGGGAGCAACUAAACCCAAGGCUGCAUCUAUGCCAAAGACAUGAAUAAGAAUGGAAAAACACGCACAGGCAUCCAGAUGUUCUUUGGCAAUGACAAACACCCCGACAUUUGGAGACAUCUGGGUGACUGACCGACUUCGCCAGUGUCAUCUGGAGGAGGAAGAUUGUGCAGACGCAGCGUGAUUACAUGCAGGGUAAUAAACAAGCCUCCACCACCGUCCACAGGAUUGCAAGCAUCUGGGUGAAAGAGCUGAAGGCUCCAGCCAACCCUCCAAAUGUUUGGCAUCGUUCAAACAAAACACUGGACGGCAGGAGAUGGGCCAAAGGUACACGAAAGAGGCGGGGGGUCCCGGAGCCUUGCUGCCUGCAUGAGACCUAAUGAGUGUCCAACUCUUAGCAGUGGCAAGUGAUGGUCACACUGCACAUUCCAGAGCCUCCUCCUCACUGGGCUCUGCAACCUACCCAGUGAGAGGCCUCGGGCUCCCUUGGUCAGGGUCCGGUCCACUCACCCUGUGCAGGAGCUCCGGCAACACCAGGGCCAAAGUCGAACGUCUGUUUCACAAUCUAAGGAAGGGGAGGCAGUGCCUACCUCGCUGCCCAGGGGGAAGAGCAGGGUGCCUUGGGAACCAGAGAGCUGGCCUGGGGGUCUGAGAGCCCUGGCAGACCGGUGACCAUUUUGGGAUGCUGGUUCAGAGUCGCCAAAGCACACCUGAGCAAGACAAUGAGAAAAGGGCAUGAGUCCUCCCCAAAUGAAUUCAGCUCUAUUACUUUAUUGGCAAAGGAAAGAAGCAUCCUACACAUGGGCAAAUGAAGAAAACAAGGAUCCUGAGCCAAAGGAAACUUGAGGCAUCUUGGUCUGAUUUUUUCAUCUGGACCAUGUUAAGGAAAAUGUAAUAAAAUUUCCACCUUUGAGCUGCCGUGCUAAGCUGUUGGGAUGUCUGCUUUCUGGCUCUUCUCCUUGACAUUAGCUGGGAACAAAUGUUUGCUAGAGUGUGAGGAGGGAGUGGAAUUUGCAGACCAAAAAAGGGAAAAGACGCUGGACUCAAAUAACACUCACACAGAAACAUGGAGCACCACCGACAGUUGGUGAUCUCACCAGCAGCUCAGCGCUGAGCCUCGUCGUGCCAGAUAGCCCUCCGGUUCAUGUAAAUUAGAAAACCAUUGUCCAAAACCAAAGGACUUUCUCCAGAAAUGUCUGGCUCUGGAUCAGCCAUCAAGAGAGCGGGAAGAAGCACCCAUCCAAAGGCCCCUUGGAUGCUGGGACACACAGCACCCUGCAGACUGGCCAGCGCCACAGCCCACUGCGCUAGCCACGUCUCCGACCAGAUGCUGGCUUAACCGCCUCGCUGGAGGGGUUCUGUCAACAUGCAUUGUUUCUGAGAGAAGCUUGAGGCCAGGCGUCUCUAAGUCCUAUAAUUAGAAAAAGUAAAGAAAGGAGAGCACUGCACAGGGUUCUGACUCACCACUGUUACACAGAGGCCCCCCGGGUGACAGAGACAUGACUCGCACCUAUACAUGGCUCCGACUUAGGUCCUCACAUGCUGAGCCCCAUGUUCCCCUCUGCAAGGGCAGGUUUGGACCCUGUGGCCGCAGGGUCCCCACUGACUCUCCAGGGGUGGACAGCUGAGCCACCGUGGGUGCGGCUUCCUCCACGAGCUCCAUGCAUUCUGCACAUUCUAGAGCGUCCUCCGCACUGGGCUCUGCAACCUACCCAGUGAGAGGCCUCGGGCUCCCUUGGUCAGGGUCCGGUCCACUCACCCUGUGCAGGAGCUCGGGCAACACCAGGGCCAAAGUCGAGCGUCUGUUUCUCGAUCCACCUAAAAUGGGGGGCCUCAGGACUUGCCAACAAAGGAAGGGGAGGCGAUGCCAUUGUCCAAGACCAAAGGACUUUCUCCAGAAAUGUCUGGCUCUGGAUCAGCCAUCAGGAGAGCGGGAAGAAGCACCCACCCCUGCGCUGGCGGUGUGCGGAAAAGAAGGUGGCGAGGAUGGAGUGCCCUGGUCCAGUCUCGGAGGGUGGCCUUAGGAAGUCUGGGUGUGGACGAACGCCGUGUGCAAUUUCAGGUAUCCACCAGGAGCUCCUCUGUGAUUCCCCUGCAGAGCCCUCCUCUCAGGUCCUGUUUACCCACAUGUAACUGUGGGAAGACCUGAAGAGGUCCCCGUCUUCCCGGGAGGCAGCAGGUACCAGCAGGGCCACUGCAGAGGUCUCGUUGUCAUAGACCCAGGGACCUACAAGCUCACAUGUGGCUUCCAUGAGAGCAUCCUGCAUCCAGGGUGGAGUCCAGCCGGGAUCUUAGUACCAAUGCCACUUCCCCUGUGGCUGCCCACGACGGGACCCCGCGUGGAAACCUGACUCACAGAAACCAACCAGUUCCCUCCCCGAGAACCUGAAGUCGGCCUUGAGAGGCAGGGAGUGGCCCUGCUGUGUCCAGCUGAGCUGAGGUCAUCCAGAGUUGGAGUCCCCGGAGACGAAGGUCAUGGAGCAAGGCUCAGCUGCCUGGGAGGGGCAGGGGAGAGAGAGGCACAGAGACCACCUCUGCAGACCCCCCAAGCCCCACCAGCCCCCACUCUGGCACCCGGGCUCUCUCUUAGGCUAGGUUUAUGUUCAUUGUAACUAAGAAACUUCAUCCCGUGGGGGUCAGUAGGAAGGAGCGCAGGGUGCCACAUUCAGGGGGUGUGCUGAGCACUGCCUAAGUGCCUGUGCUGGGGGGGGGGUGGCACUGAACCCGCCCUACCCCCACCAGCACCACCCAGCACAGGUCUGCACCUGCCUGAGGAAGGGGUGCCCGUUUCAAAUCUGCUGGGAGGCGCUGCUGGCCGGCUUCAGCCCCGCGGGACAGCUGUGUGGUUGCAGUGUACCGCCACCCCACGGCUCCGCCAGCACCGCCCUGCCUCCCCCCACAGGGUCUCUCCCCGCCAACCUCAGUCUGCGGGUGCUUCCUACCAUCCUCCCAUCUUGAUUUUCUGCUUAGAAGAUUUCACUCCAGGCUAGAAUUUCUCAAGACAUAUUCUGGGAACUUUGUCCAGUGUGAUAAAUAUCACGUGGGCACCCCCACGUGCCCGUGAGCUCCUGGCAUGUAAGCCCGAGAAGAGCGGCACAUUCCGUCUUCCCCCUGGGAACAGGCAGCGCACACUCCUCGGUGGAGUCUCUGGCGAGUCCUGCAGGUGAGACACCAGCCGACUGGAGGAGGGCCCAAGCUCAGCACUUCCCCCGAAGACAGGCCUUUGUUCCUGUGCAGCAGGCAAUUCAUCUUCUUCCGCUUGAGACACGUCCUUGGACGUCCCUUUUCCCAUCCACUGCAGAGUUCCCACUGCUUAUCACUUAAAUUAAAUAGCACAGGGCACCUUUGUCUUCGCGGUGCCUAACGCAGAAAUGCGUCUUACACUCAGCACAUGGACGCUUAACGAGGGGGACAUGGCUGAGCGGCCUGUACCAGAGGACCAUUUUCAAACACUCAGGCUCACACUUGGGGUGUCGGAUAUCUGUGUGUGGCGUGGGCACAGCCUGGUGUCCGGGUGACUGGCGCCCAGGGCCUCAGCGGCUGCAGGCCCUGGGGUCCUCAUUAGCAGAAGAGGCGGAGUGGCCCGCUGCCUCUCCUCUCAGCUUGUGCCCUGUCAGGACUGAUCAAGAUCUCCCUUGCUCAAUUCGUGGGCCGUCAUUAUUUCAGGACCUGAGAUAGGAAGGCAGUAGAUUUUAUGUGAUUAGCUGCUGAGAUAAACGUUAAUUAGUUUUCAAUUUCCAUAAAGUACCCCACUGACAGAAAGAUUUGUUAAGUAAGUUAAUGGCUGUAGAUGAUUGUUCCAAAAUUGGGAUGGGGGAUGAGGCGCCAUGGGGACCAGGGCUGAGGACGGGUGGGCACCAGGCAGGCUCAGCGCCAGACACUAAGACAGAAUGCAGGUGGAGGCUGACGGACCGCCCCAGGUCCCAGGAGUCCACACCAUCAGGAGGCUUGGGACUGCAGGGGAGGAGGCUCAGCCUCUGAGGAAAAGCACAGUGGAGGCCGACGUCCAGGAACCAGCUGCACUGGCCCCAGUGUGAAGUCCAGAGAAGGCCCGGUUCUGUGUCAGCCCAGAAGACGGGGAGUCCCGGCUCUCCCUCAGGCCCUGCUCCUGGUUCUGAGUGAGCAAGGACAAGAGAAGAGAGCAGCCAGGCCCAGUCAGAGGGUCUCCUGGCCCCUGGUGGCCCAGAAACGGCCGAGGUCCGGGAGGCCGGAACCCCGCUUUCCUUGGCCCACGCACUGGACAAGCCUCCUGCUCUGGGAGCCUCCGCCCAUCUUUAGGAGAGUGGAGGGGAGGCAGUGAACCCUCCGUUACGUCGUGCUGAGACGUUUUUGGAAUCCACCCCAGAAACACUCCAGGCCUCACCAGACGCUGUCUGCAGGGUGAGUCGCUGGCCUAGGACGGGAAGCCUCGGCGUCCCACGAUGACUUCUAACACUGAUCUCCACACCCUGCUGCCGCACUCGGGCUUCUCGCCAGAUCACGCCAAGCUCUGAGUAACGGGCCACACCCAGCCCUCUCGCACGUCCACUGGGCCCCCGCCAGGCCUCUCCCUGUGCCUGGGGUGGGGAGGCUGCCAGGCCACCCACACACUGUCCUUUCUACUCCGGGAGCGUCAGGCCCCUCCGAUCCCUUUUCCUCCAACACCACAGAGUGAACGAAAGUUCCCCAGAAAGACGCCGGCCGACCCCGGCUGGGUCAGUGUGGCCCUCCUGCACCAGCCUCCACCCCAGAGAGCAGGUCAGAUCCUCGUGGGACCAGAGCCUCCAAAGCCAGCCUCCAACACACGGGUCCCUGUCCUCACACACGUCAGGCAGCCCCUUAGCCCCCUCCUGCUGCGCCAAAGCACCCAGCUGCUGGGGUGGAGUUUGGCCCACAUCGGGAGCUGAGGAAUCUGAAGGAAGGUGGUCAGGGUAGGUGUGUCCAGGGGACGGGCCUGCACUCCGUCGCCAGGAUUCCGCCACACUCCAGCACUCCGAGCUCAGCCAGGCCCCCGUGGAUACCAGAGACCACGGCAGUUCCCAUGGAGGACACCUGGAGGACUCUGCUGAAGGCCGGUGCCGGAGGCGUGGGCCCGCAUCACCCGUGAUUUCCCAGGAAUCCUCUUCUUCCACAUCUGGGAUGAGCACCCGUGUACGGAGCUCAGUAAGGAAGCCCCAGGGGAAAGAGAAAUAGGGGAGAUCUCCCCUCUUUGCAGCAACAAAAUGGAGAGAUGGAGGAGGAAGCGUUUCACUAAAUCACAGGAAAAUUAGCCUUCGUUGCCAGAACUGGUGAUUUACAAGGAGCGAUUCUUCACCCUGAUAAUUCACUCUGCACUUAGAUCUAGAUGUUCGAUUUUUUGUAAUGGAAUUUCUAAAAGUCAAGGAAUCUGUGUGAAGCUGAGGGUGGGAACACAGUCUGUCUUCACAGGAAGAGACAGUAUCAGGAAAGAGUCUCUUCUUUGUUUGUUUUUAUGUCUAACACAAAGAAUGGGAAGCCUAAGACCCAGCUGGGGGACCAACAGUGACAGUGCAUUCCUGGGCUUCCCCUACUCACGGGGCCACGGGCACCAGCAGAAAGGUGACCCCUUGCCAUCCGCCUCCUGAAACUCCCACUACAGAUAAGUGACCCUGCGUGACCGCACAGAGCUCACUGAGUGGACGCUUCUGAAAGAGAAACUCCAGGCCAUUUUCACACUCGACCUCUUGGUCCCCACUACCCCUGUUAUGGCCAGUCUACCUGAGCCCUCUGUCUGGGGGCCAAGGAGCAAUGGACGGCUGUGCUGGCCUCAUCUGCCCCUCAUUCUGAGCACCUUUCUGCACCCCACUCUCCCCCAGCACUCUGACCAGCUUCCACCGUGGAGUAUGGUGGACACAGGGCCUGUGGCUCCCCAGGGACCCUAGCAGUCACAGGAGACCGUGUGACUUGGUGACUCACAGCGGGAAACAUGCAUCUGGCCUUCCCAUGGCUGACCAGGGCUGAUAAAGCCAGAGGUGAAGGCCAACAGCACCCUCCCUGUUCAUGGAGCCCCGGCACCAGCUGAGUCCCCGGCCCUGCGGCCUCUUCCGAGAGCCCUGACCCGGGGCUGGCUGCAGGGGAGCAGCCCUGGAUAGAAGGCGGAAACUCUCAGACCCCUCCCCAACCCACACCUCCACGGACUCCACCAGUGACCAGGACAGUCGUGCCGGCGUACUGGAGCCUCCAGGAAACCCAAGAGGGCAGAUGCACUGACUGUUGAACACGCUCCGUGCUGAGGGGGCCCAGGGAGGACCUGGCCGUGCUGAGCCCCUCCCAGACCUCGCCCUGUGAGUCUCCCCAGCUGGCUCCUCCCGAGUCGCCACCGUCUUUACGACAAACCCGUCGUGGAAGAACAAACCUUUCCCAGGUCUGCGAGCUGCCCUAGCAGUGAGUGAGCUGGAGAAGGAGCGGCACCUCCACCGGUCAGAAGUACAGGGGGCCAUCUGGACUGGAGAGUGGCCUCUGAAGUGGGCAGAGGCUGAGUCCCCCACCUGUGGGGCCUGAGGACCUCUCCCAGUCACAGAUUGCAGGACGAGAAUUGCUGUGGGGGGAAAUCCCUCCUCACCUGGUGCCAGGAGCAAGGUGUGAAGAGCAGGUGUGGGUGCUAGGUCAGUGUGGCGACUUGGUGGCGACUCAGAACACAGCAGCCUGUGCAGGAGUGACAUCUCAAUGAAGCCUCCUUCAGCGGCCCUUUUAAAUCUGCCUCCCUGGGUCGUGCCAGAGGACUCGGGGCCAGGGUUCGCUCUUUCUUUUCAAGAGGCAGGAAUAAGGUCAGGAGGCUCAUUCCUCCGCUGCCUUCAUAGGCACUUGCUCCAAGCUGGCCGUGCCCCUCAGCACAGCUGGGCUACCAAGGAGAACCCACAUGAGCUCUCCGACUCCAGUUGCUCCCAGUGGACUUAAACGUCUCUCGUCCGGGAGGCUGCCCGGGGGGCGAUACAUUCCCAGUCUCUGCUGGCUUUGCCGUGAAGCCACUGCUGACCUGGGGCCUGAUGGUGAGGCUACUGGGGUGUUUCUUUAAGGGUCUGAACCACGUUUUUGCCAAAACUUCCCCCUGGGGCCUGCCGAUGUCCCCUGAGUGAGGCCUGGUACAGUGGGCACACUUGUGGUUCCAGCCACUCUGGAGGCUGAGGCAGGAGGAUGGCGAGUUUGAGGCCAGCCUGUGCAACUUGGUGAGACUCUGUCUCUCCGUGGUAGAGUGCCCUGGAUGCAGUCCCCAGGACUGCUGUAAGGACACAUUCCCUGGUGACGGACGCCCUGGCCUCCCCGACUUGAGGGGGCCUGUCCCCUUCGCUGCCUCAGCCUUCCUUUCUGAUUCUGCUCAGCUCUGCACGCGGAUCUCUUGAACAUUUGAGGAACAAGGAGAACUUGGCCCAGACUCCCUGGUCUCCCGCGACCCCCGCUCAUGCGCCAGGACAGGAAGCCACCGACCACACAAGGAGUGGACAUGGAAAGAGGUGAUGUCCGCGUCCUGGGAGCCUCUGCCCCUUCCCAGGGCCGGGUGGAUGCCCUCCCCUGUGCGCCUGUGCCUGCCCACCUGUCCCCCUCCACCCAGGAGGAGGAAGCCCACCUGUGAGACAGCCCUUCUCCGCUCUGUCACCGAAGGAAGCCUCUCUCCUCAGCUUGUCUCCUCGGGGUGAGCCUCCAGCCUGGGGUCCCCUCGGGGCCCCAUCCGCCUGGCUCUGCUGCCCUCCCUCACCCUCAGGCCUGCUCUGUGGCUGCCUGCCCAGGUGCCCCCACACACACACACCCCCACACUCUCCUGAUGUGAGGGUGCCCUCUGCUUCUCCUCCGUACGGCUCCUGAGCUGGACGGUAAGGGAGGGAGAGACUGGAUGUGGAGAGCCUCCCACUGCAGCUGCGUGGCCCCCUGGAGCUGGCCCUAAGCCCUUCCAAACUCCUAACUCGUGGGAUCUGAGGUCAUUGAUGCUUACUGGUUGAAGAAGUGACUUUUUGAUUGUUUGCCGUACCGGGGACUGAACCCAGGGGCGCUUGCCCCUGAGCCACACCCCCAGCCCUUUUCAUCUUUUGACACAGGGUCUCACUAAGUGGCCCAGGCUGGCCUGGAACUUGUGGUCUUCCUGCCUCAGCGGCUGGGGUUACAGGGGUGCAGCACCACCACACCCUGCUGAAGUGGUUUGCUCCAAACAGAAGGCCUCUGAUGUCCCCGAUACAGCUCGGAGAACCUGGAUGACAGCAGAGCUUGGUGGACCCCAGGGCUCACGGUGUCGGCCACUGUGCUGAGCCUGCCCUUAACCUCCUCCAUUCCCUGCGAAGCCGGUACUGCUGUGGCCUCACUGUAGAGCUUGGGAGCCAAGACACACUGAGCACACCAUGUCCCACGGAGCCCAGAAGCCCAUUCUUCACAUUAACCCUCUGAAGUCAGAGGCCCUCUCCCGGUCACUGAUGGCACCCAGCUGCUGGAAUCAGGCAGCAAUCUGAUAUGACGGCAGCGUGCACAGGGGUGCAGCUGUGUCAUCCCGUUCCUACCGUGACUGCUUCACCUGGGUUACCAGCCUCGGACUGACCGGCUGCCUGAAGUGUUCCCAACAGUCUACGAUGACUUGGCUUCAAAACUCAGAGUCAUCGUACAGACAAAGAUAUGAAACUAGAGCAGCAGACCGUACAUUUUAUAUUUGAGAAGUAAACAUCACUAGGAAAAUAAA